AAGUGUUAGUUCAGGAAACGAAACUGCGAACAGCUCAUUAAUACGCUCAGAACUUAUCGGGUAAAAUCCAAACGGGUAAACAGGGAUAGCUGCAGAAAUUCUGGAGCCAAUACCAACUCUUCGGAGGCAACCACUGUAUGGGAAAGAAAAGUGGGUAUAAGGCCGGGAGGCGAGCCCGAAUGUUGAGCGCCCCAUCGGCUAAUACGUAGGGUCUGUGCCUACGCAUGCGAUCACGGGUAACGGGUGGUUAACGUCAGACUGCCGGAGAUUGAGCCUGAGAAACAGCUCAAAUAACCACGGUUAGCAGCAGGCGCGAAACUUUCUCAAUCGCGACAAGCGGAGGAGGUAGCGGCCAGUUUCUGACUGUCGUAACAGACGUUUGAAAAGGCUUCGGACAAGCACUCCGAGGUGGCAAGGAUAGGGCAAGCUCCGGUGCCAGCAGCUGCGGUAAUUCCGGCUAUCCAAGUUUGCUUCUAAUGUUACGUUUAAAAAAUUCGUAGCCGAGAUCUGUUGCGCGCAAGCGCGUUCACGGUGAAUAAAUCAGGAUGCUUAGAGUAGUUCGUAAUUGAAUGACCCAGCACCGCAUGAGGUCUUUACCCGUCAGGGUAAGCCUAAAGAGAGCUAUCGAGGCAAGGGCUACGCAAAAGCGAGCGGCGGAAUGUUUUGACCUUUUGCGGAGGAACAGACGCGAAGGCGCCUUGCAUGAGAGUUUCUGUCGGUCAAGAAUGAGAGCUCCGGUCGCGAACCGGAUUAGACACCCGGGUAGUCGGAGCUGUAAAGUAUGCCAACUGGGCCGCAUCGCAAGGUGGGGCCACACGAGAAAUCUUAAGUCGUUGGGCUACGGGGGGAAUACGACCGCAAGGCUGAAACUUGAAGGAAUUGACGGAAGGAUACACAAUGUUGUGGAUUAUGCGGCUCAAUGUGACUCAACGCGGGGAAACUUACCAAGACCCGAUAUUUUUAAUGACUGACCAGCUAAAGACUGUUCAGGAUAUGAUUUUUGGUGGUGCAUGGCCGUUGGUGGUGCGUGAAAUGAUUUGUCUAAAGUCGAUUCGGGUAACGAGCGAGAUCACCGCCGUUUUAAACAACGGGGCACUGUAAGGUGUCCAAGAGUACAAAACGGGACUCCCGGCGUUGAAGCCGGAGGAAGAUGGUGGCAAUAACAGGUCCGUGAUGUCCUUUAGAUGCUUUGGGCUGCACGCGUAAUACAAUGCUAGGAGAAAAGGGCGGCAAAGCCGAAAGGCCGAGCAACUCCAGGAAUCCCUAGCGUGCUUGGGAUUGACGUUUGACAUCAGCGUCAUGAACCAGGAAUAACUAGUAGGCUCGUCUCAACAAGGCGAACCGACUGUGUCCCUGUCCUUUGUACACACCGCCCGUCGCUGCUACCGAUUGGAUGAGCCGGUGAACCCGCCGGAGGCGCAAGCCAAAGACGUGUGAACCUGCCCAUUUA
RNAcentral lists this ribosomal RNA (1450 nucleotides) under Cononympha sp. 1 NCoots-2020. RNAcentral describes it as "SSU rRNA". It matches the Rfam family "Eukaryotic small subunit ribosomal RNA". The record is from RNAcentral. Lineage: Eukaryota; Parabasalia; Holomastigotoidida; Holomastigotoididae.